GGUUAAGCGACUAAGCGUACACGGUGGAUGCCCUGGCAGUCAGAGGCGAUGAAGGACGUGCUAAUCUGCGAAAAGCGUCGGUAAGGUGAUAUGAACCGUUACAGCCGGCGAUGUCCGAAUGGGGAAACCCAGUGCAAUUCGUUGCACUAUCGUUAACUGAAUACAUAGGUUAACGAGGCGAACCGGGGGAACUGAAACAUCUAAGUACCCCGAGGAAAAGAAAUCAACCGAGAUUCCCCCAGUAGCGGCGAGCGAACGGGGAGCAGCCCAGAGUCUGAAUCAGCUUGUGUGUUAGUGGAACGGUCUGGAAAGUCCGACGGUACAGGGUGAUAGUCCCGUACACCAAAAUGCACAGGUUGUGAACUCGAAGAGUAGGGCGGGACACGUGGUAUCCUGUCUGAAUAUGGGGGGACCAUCCUCCAAGGCUAAAUACUCCUGACUGACCGAUAGUGAACCAGUACCGUGAGGGAAAGGCGAAAAGAACCCCGGCGAGGGGAGUGAAAAAGAACCUGAAACCGUGUACGUACAAGCAGUGGGAGCACCUUCGGGUGUGACUGCGUACCUUUUGUAUAAUGGGUCAGCGACUUAUAUUCUGUAGCAAGGUUAACCGUAUAGGGGAGCCGCAGGGAAACCGAGUCUUAACUGGGCGUUAAGUUGCAGGGUAUAGACCCGAAACCCGGUGAUCUAGCCAUGGGCAGGUUGAAGGUUGGGUAACACUAACUGGAGGACCGAACCGACUAAUGUUGAAAAAUUAGCGGAUGACUUGUGGCUGGGGGUGAAAGGCCAAUCAAACCGGGAGAUAGCUGGUUCUCCCCGAAAGCUAUUUAGGUAGCGCCUCGUGAAUUCAUCUUCGGGGGUAGAGCACUGUUUCGGCUAGGGGGUCAUCCCGACUUACCAACCCGAUGCAAACUACGAAUACCGAAGAAUGUUAUCACGGGAGACACACGGCGGGUGCUAACGUCCGUCGUGAAGAGGGAAACAACCCAGACCGCCAGCUAAGGUCCCAAAGUCAUGGUUAAGUGGGAAACGAUGUGGGAAGGCACAGACAGCCAGGAUGUUGGCUUAGAAGCAGCCAUCAUUUAAAGAAAGCGUAAUAGCUCACUGGUCGAGUCGGCCUGCGCGGAAGAUGUAACGGGGCUAAACCAUGCACCGAAGCUGCGGCAGCGACACUAUGUGUUGUUGGGUAGGGGAGCGUUCUGUAAGCCUGCGAAGGUGACCUGUGAGGGUUGCUGGAGGUAUCAGAAGUGCGAAUGCUGACAUAAGUAACGAUAAAGCGGGUGAAAAGCCCGCUCGCCGGAAGACCAAGGGUUCCUGUCCAACGUUAAUCGGGGCAGGGUGAGUCGACCCCUAAGGCGAGGCCGAAAGGCGUAGUCGAUGGGAAACAGGUUAAUAUUCCUGUACUUGGUGUUACUGCGAAGGGGGGACGGAGAAGGCUAUGUUAGCCGGGCGACGGUUGUCCCGGUUUAAGCAUGUAGGCUGGUUAUCCAGGCAAAUCCGGAUAAUCAAGGCUGAGGUGUGAUGACGAGGCACUACGGUGCUGAAGUAACAAAUGCCCUGCUUCCAGGAAAAGCCUCUAAGCAUCAGGUAACAUCAAAUCGUACCCCAAACCGACACAGGUGGUCAGGUAGAGAAUACCAAGGCGCUUGAGAGAACUCGGGUGAAGGAACUAGGCAAAAUGGUGCCGUAACUUCGGGAGAAGGCACGCUGGUGUGUAGGUGAAGCCCCUGCGGGUGGAGCUGAGACCAGUCGAAGAUACCAGCUGGCUGCAACUGUUUAUUAAAAACACAGCACUGUGCAAACACGAAAGUGGACGUAUACGGUGUGACGCCUGCCCGGUGCCGGAAGGUUAAUUGAUGGGGUUAUCCGUAAGGAGAAGCUCUUGAUCGAAGCCCCGGUAAACGGCGGCCGUAACUAUAACGGUCCUAAGGUAGCGAAAUUCCUUGUCGGGUAAGUUCCGACCUGCACGAAUGGCGUAAUGAUGGCCAGGCUGUCUCCACCCGAGACUCAGUGAAAUUGAACUCGCUGUGAAGAUGCAGUGUACCCGCGGCAAGACGGAAAGACCCCGUGAACCUUUACUAUAGCUUGACACUGAACAUUGAGCCUUGAUGUGUAGGAUAGGUGGGAGGCUUUGAAGCGUGGACGCCAGUCUGCGUGGAGCCAACCUUGAAAUACCACCCUUUAAUGUUUGAUGUUCUAACGUUGGCCCCUGACCGGGGUUGCGGACAGUGUCUGGUGGGUAGUUUGACUGGGGCGGUCUCCUCCCAAAGCGUAACGGAGGAGCACGAAGGUUAGCUAAUCCUGGUCGGACAUCAGGAGGUUAGUGCAAUGGCAUAAGCUAGCUUGACUGCGAGCGUGACGGCGCGAGCAGGUGCGAAAGCAGGUCAUAGUGAUCCGGUGGUUCUGAAUGGAAGGGCCAUCGCUCAACGGAUAAAAGGUACUCCGGGGAUAACAGGCUGAUACCGCCCAAGAGUUCAUAUCGACGGCGGUGUUUGGCACCUCGAUGUCGGCUCAUCACAUCCUGGGGCUGAAGUAGGUCCCAAGGGUAUGGCUGUUCGCCAUUUAAAGUGGUACGCGAGCUGGGUUUAGAACGUCGUGAGACAGUUCGGUCCCUAUCUGCCGUGGGCGCUGGAGAAUUGAGGGGGGCUGCUCCUAGUACGAGAGGACCGGAGUGGACGCAUCACUGGUGUUCGGGUUGUCAUGCCAAUGGCACUGCCCGGUAGCUAAAUGCGGAAGAGAUAAGUGCUGAAAGCAUCUAAGCACGAAACUUGCCCCGAGAUGAGUUCUCCCUGAGACUUUAAGUCUCCUGAAGGAACGUUAAAGACGAUGACGUUGAUAGGCCGGGUGUGUAAGCGCAGCGAUGCGUUGAGCUAACCGGUACUAAUGAACCGUGAGGCUUAACCUU
This 2902-nucleotide ribosomal RNA is filed under the name Klebsiella pneumoniae. RNAcentral describes it as "23S ribosomal RNA". It matches the Rfam family "Bacterial large subunit ribosomal RNA". The record is from RNAcentral. RNAcentral also lists the same sequence under 1 other name. Lineage: Bacteria; Pseudomonadati; Pseudomonadota; Gammaproteobacteria; Enterobacterales; Enterobacteriaceae.